AAUUAAUAAAUUAUGCACUUAUCAUGGAGAUAUUAUGUGAAGUUAUGCUAUUCGAAAAUAUUCACCACAUUCCUUCUUCAAUUUCCUAAUGAGAUGACAUAAGCCAUCCCAACCCUUGCCAUUCCUACAUCAUCACCGUAUCAAACAUUACCUAAGCCUGAAAUGCCCAAUUUGGAAUUAGCAGAUAUCUCUCCUUUGAAGACGAUUCCUUUUCCACAAACUUAAAUGGCACUGCCAUCACUUAUUCAACUCAGACAACUUUUUGUACUAAUCUUUCCUCUUUAAACAAGGGAUUGAGAUCCUAUCAACCAUCCAUUUUAUUCUUUUAAACCAACCUUUGAAAUAAAUGUUACAAAAUUUUUACAAGGCUUGUGAUAUCCAGAGGCUUUAUGUACAAAUUGAAAGAAAAAGAGAGAAAAUAAAAAAAGAAACCUGCAAAAAUCUCCCAAAUUAGU
Molecule: unclassified non-coding RNA, 455 nt
Filed under: Hevea brasiliensis (rubber tree)
Lineage: Eukaryota; Viridiplantae; Streptophyta; Magnoliopsida; Malpighiales; Euphorbiaceae
Source: RNAcentral